UGAACUCUGAACUCCAAUUGCAAUGUAAUUUUCCGUUAGCGAAAGUGAGGUUACGAAAUUGACAUGACAUUAUUGUUGGAAAAAAAAAAACGUGAAUGCAAUGGACAUGUGUUUUGUUGUGUUUCUCAUCAAGAUAAUAGAAGAAUUUAGUGCUCAUACUCAUGAUCUAAUGAGCAAACAGCCCAUGCAAAGGAUGUCUUAUCGGGCUAUGCCUCAAUUGAUAAAGUGAACUAAUUGCCUUCUCCAAAAGCAGUUUUGCAUGAAAGUCAACAUCUAAUUGGAAUUUACAAUGCCCGAUAUUUCUACACAUCUGCCACAAAUUUUAUGGAAAACAAUAUUUAUAGAAACUGAACAUACCUUGGUUAAACGUAUAUGAAAUGGGUAACCAUCCUUGAAGAACAUCAACCAGCUGUCGGCAAUGUGCAGGUGGACUGAGGAAUUUUCCGGUGUGUCCUUUAUGGACUGUACUCCGUCUUAGCACUAUCCUCAAGUUUUACCCGAAAGGCCAUGCUUCAGGUUGGACCGUCUUCCAUAUAUCUACUGACUUCAUAUAAAUGAAAGUCUCGCUGAUCUGCACUACCAGCUCGUUCAACGUUACUGAACAACAAAGUAAUCCGACAAUCAGACUGGACCCGGUCACGUUAGGUACCAAAGGAAAACGAAAAUAUCAUUGGUUCUAUACUGAUGCAUGACUUCGCUCGGAACGCGGCAAGAAUUAACAAUGGAAGAAAAUACUACAGACGUGUUUAUUAACAAUAAAGUUAUUUUUGUUUUUAUGAAAUAGCGAUUGAAUAAAAAUAUUA
Leguminivora glycinivorella is the source of this 803-nucleotide long non-coding RNA. RefSeq lists it as uncharacterized. The transcript is spliced from 6 exons. NCBI's taxonomy places the organism in Eukaryota, Metazoa, Arthropoda, Insecta, Lepidoptera, Tortricidae. The record is from RefSeq and is a predicted model, not a curated record.